This 73-nucleotide transfer RNA is filed under the name Felis catus (domestic cat). It matches the Rfam family "tRNA". From Rfam's summary of the family: Transfer RNA (tRNA) molecules are approximately 80 nucleotides in length. Their secondary structure includes four short double-helical elements and three loops (D, anti-codon, and T loops). Lineage: Eukaryota; Metazoa; Chordata; Mammalia; Carnivora; Felidae. The record is from Rfam by way of RNAcentral.
GCCUGGCUGGCUCAGGUGAUAGAGCAUGUGAUUCUUGAUCUUGGGGUCAUGAGUUCAAGCCCCACGCCGGGCA